GCAGUCGACGGUAGCACAGAGGAGCUUGCUCCUUGGGUGACGAGUGGCGGACGGGUGAGUAAUGUCUGGGAAACUGCCCGAUAGAGGGGGAUAACUACUGGAGACGGUAGCUAAUACCGCGUAACGUCGCAAGACCAAAGAGGGGGACCUUCGGGCCUCUUGCCAUCGGAUGUGCCCAGAUGGGAUUAGCUAGUAGGUGGGGUAACGGCUCACCUAGGCGACGAUCCCUAGCUGGUCUGAGAGGAUGACCAGCCACACUGGAACUGAGACACGGUCCAGACUCCUACGGGAGGCAGCAGUGGGGAAUAUUGCACAAUGGGCGCAAGCCUGAUGCAGCCAUGCCGCGUGUAUGAAGAAGGCCUUCGGGUUGUAAAGUACUUUCAGCGAGGAGGAAGGCGUUGUGGUUAAUAACCGCAGCGAUUGACGUUACUCGCAGAAGAAGCACCGGCUAACUCCGUGCCAGCAGCCGCGGUAAUACGGAGGGUGCAAGCGUUAAUCGGAAUUACUGGGCGUAAAGCGCACGCAGGCGGUCUGUCAAGUCGGAUGUGAAAUCCCCGGGCUCAACCUGGGAACUGCAUCCGAAACUGGCAGGCUAGAGUCUUGUAGAGGGGGGUAGAAUUCCAGGUGUAGCGGUGAAAUGCGUAGAGAUCUGGAGGAAUACCGGUGGCGAAGGCGGCCCCCUGGACAAAGACUGACGCUC
RNAcentral lists this ribosomal RNA (700 nucleotides) under uncultured bacterium. Its description in RNAcentral is "bacterial SSU rRNA". It matches the Rfam family "Bacterial small subunit ribosomal RNA", at positions 57 to 748 of the family's 1533-position model. The record is from RNAcentral.